RNAcentral lists this long non-coding RNA (1421 nucleotides) under Sus scrofa (pig). RNAcentral describes it as "lncRNA (ENSSSCG00005000117.1)". The record is from RNAcentral. Lineage: Eukaryota; Metazoa; Chordata; Mammalia; Artiodactyla; Suidae.
GGGGGCCCCACGGCCCACCUGCACCUGCUGGCCGUGCACCGCGCCUUCCGGCAGCAGGGCAAGGGCUCGGUCCUGCUCUGGCGCUACCUGCACCACCUGGGCAGCCAGCCGGCCGUGCGCCGGGCCGUGCUCAUGUGUGAGGCCAGGCUGGUGCCCUUCUACCAGAGGUUCGGCUUCCAGCCCGUGGGCCCCAGUGCCGUCUCCAUAGGCUCAGUGGUCUUCACGGAGAUGCAGUGCUCCAUGCGGGACCUCGUCUCCCAGCGCAGGAACAGUGACUGCUGAACUGGCCGCCACGUGGGGGGCCCACGGCCGGUUGCCUGAGGUGUGGGGAGGCAGGCUGGGGGGUCCUACCCUGUCCCGGUGUCCCCUUCUCUGCCCUGGCCUUCCCCCAACUCGCCCCGGCCCGAAGGGAGACGGGGACGCCCAGGGGGUCGUGGAGAGGCUGGGGACUGAAAUAAAGAGAUGGGGGGGGGCCGCUGCUCCUGCCAGGCUGCCCUGCUGGGGCCCGAGUCACGUGUCCUCCAGUCUGUCUGCACCAGGCCCUCCGGAGCCCCCCCAUGCCAAACGGUGCCCCAGUGUGUGGCUGUGCCGGUUAACUGGGGAUCUUGGGAGGCCUCCUGCAGCCCUGCCACGGUGUCCUCGCCAAAGGAGCCAGGUGCUCGGGGGCCCUUCACCCCCCCAGAGCCAGGGCUGCCCCCCCCGGCCUCAGCCCUGGAAUGGGGGUAGUGGGCGCAGAGAGGGGCAGGGCCGCCCCCCAGCUCACCCCCACCCCAGGCAGCCUGAGUCCUCUGCCCCCAGUGACAGUGGUCGUGCCCCACCAUCGGGCGGCUGAAGGGCCGUGGGUUGAAGGGCUCUGAGGGAGGCCCAGGGAGUGGACAGAUGCUGAGCCCCCACCCCUGGCACUGUUUCUGCCAGGAAGGCCUUUCCCUCAGCUGGGCUGGCCCCUCAGGAUCCCCACCAGGUGAGGUUGGGGGACCACAGGAGUCCAAAGAUCCGACCCCACCCUCCUCCGGAAGUCCCUGAGCCCCUCUACAUGACCACAACCCAGUUUCUGGUCCAACCAAAUCCCCAGGAAGUUCCGUUGUUUCCCACGGUCUUUGGGCCACGCCCCUGCCCGUGGGUGACCUGCCACCCCACCCGCCGAAUAAAGUUCCAGCUUUCAUUCCACCUGAGGCCUCCGGUCAGAAGGUGGUAUUUCCCUAAAGAAGAUCAUUUAAUAUAUUUCAGACAUCAUCCACACGAAGUUAGCGUUACUUUAAAAAAUUAGGACCAUAAUAUAAACUAGCUUAAAAAAAAAAAGGUGGGGGACCCAAUUGACCUUAGGCAACCCCUGAGAGUUAUGUCCUUGGGGCGGCCCUGCCCCCACGGGAGCAGGAGUGAGGCAGAGGGUGGCAGAGCCAGUGGGCAGGCGUCAGACCAGC